GAUGAACGCUGGCGGCGUGCCUAAUACAUGCAAGUCGAGCGAACAGACGAGGAGCUUGCUCCUCUGACGUUAGCGGCGGACGGGUGAGUAACACGUGGAUAACCUACCUAUAAGACUGGGAUAACUUCGGGAAACCGGAGCUAAUACCGGAUAAUAUAUUGAACCGCAUGGUUCAAUAGUGAAAGACGGUUUUGCUGUCACUUAUAGAUGGAUCCGCGCCGCAUUAGCUAGUUGGUAAGGUAACGGCUUACCAAGGCGACGAUGCGUAGCCGACCUGAGAGGGUGAUCGGCCACACUGGAACUGAGACACGGUCCAGACUCCUACGGGAGGCAGCAGUAGGGUAUCUUCCGCAAUGGGCGAAAGCCUGACGGAGCAACGCCGCGUGAGUGAUGAAGGUCUUCGGAUCGUAAAACUCUGUUAUUAGGGAAGAACAAAUGUGUAAGUAACUAUGCACGUCUUGACGGUACCUAAUCAGAAAGCCACGGCUAACUACGUG
Molecule: ribosomal RNA, 497 nt
Filed under: uncultured bacterium
Lineage: Bacteria
Description: partial 16S ribosomal RNA
Rfam family: Bacterial small subunit ribosomal RNA
Source: RNAcentral